Molecule: non-coding RNA, 2181 nt
Organism: Pelodiscus sinensis (Chinese soft-shelled turtle)
Lineage: Eukaryota; Metazoa; Chordata; Testudines; Trionychidae
Source: RefSeq, a predicted model, not a curated record
UUGGAUAUUUGCUAGAGGCUUUAUGAGCCAUAAAAGUCAACACUGAACUUUCAUUGACCAUAAACGCCUCUGUGUAUGUGAUAAGGAAAAAACAUGUUCAUCUGUGGAGGAUUAAGCAAGAGGAAACAGUGAUCCAGUCACUGAGUCAAUCAGCUCGCAAUCAGCAAGGAAGAGGGCAUUCUUAUACAAGGCACUGCUUGAUCACCUACCAUUAUAGUAAUAUUAAGAAAUUGAAGAAGAGUCACAACAACCAGGAAAUACUGCAGCAGCCUUACUUGGAUUCUGGCCUGGCUGUGGUUAUCUAGUGGUUUAGAGAGGUGAAACCCAAUUAUAGUCUGUUUUUUUGCUUUGACUGUAGAAAUAUUGUAUAAUUCAACCCCAGUGCACAUCACUUAGCCUGGCUCACAUAGCUACCCCUUCAGGCUUUUCUGCAUCUCUUCAAACACACAGGCCUGUUCCCAAAGUGUUUCCCUGGCCUUUAAUUCAACCUGAAACCAUCGCAAAAUAAACUGGUUGCUGACCAUUUUUUAAAUUUCCAAACUUCUUAUAUUUCAGCACAUGCACAGUUGACCUGAUUCUGAUUUUACACUGUAUUUUAACAGUGGUUUAAUUCUAAAUCCUCUGAGACUAGUUGGGUCACUCCCAAUUCAUUUGAAGUACGUUAGAUAAGAAUUAGAUGCAUAGAUUAUUUCACAGCCCUUGCCCCAUCAUAAAACCGGAGGAGAAAUCCCAAACGCAUUGUAGGAGGAGCACUGCAAGAGCUAAUAUUAACUAUUUUAGCAGAUGCUUUACUCACCACAGUGGAACCCACAUUCUUGGAAUACAGUCUACACAGAAAGUAUUAUGGGUUUUACAACAUAGGGCACCAAAUAGGGGAAGUUCUUUAAAGUAUGAGACAAGUGGCUAUCCUAGUGCCUUUAGGGGGGUGUUUAACAAAAUGUUGAAACCAUUUAUAUGUUCUCUUAUUAACAAAAUCUUCUUAAAGGGCUGUCCGGCGGACUAGAAUACAAACUUUAUCUGUGAGGUGUGAGAUAAGGAUUUAACUUGAGGUAAAGUCAAAGCCAGAAUAGCCACUGAAUUCUUACUCAACUGGUGAGGAAAACUUUUGAAAGAUACUGUAGCCAGUGGUUCCUCUGUCCCACUCACUAGUAGUCUAGAACUGUUUGAGACCUAUAUGUGAGAAAUGAUGAAAAUUUUCAGCAGCAGCCUUUUAGCAGUUUCAGUUAUGGUCAGGUACUGUUGAAAAACAUAGCUAUUGUAUGAUAGGGGUAUUUUAAGGAGGUUUGGAAACUAUUGUGAAUCACUUGCAACAUCUAAGGAAGAUUGCAAUUAUAACCUUAUGAAUCCGGGUGGUGAGAAUGGACUUUGCUUAUUCCAGCUUUAUUCACUUUGAAAUCUUGUUCAUGAGAAAGGACAGAUGUGCCAUUUCCUGGUUUUGUUACACAUGCUGUCACAAGAGUUGAGUCGUCAGCAUCUAAAUGCCCCUUUUGACUCAGAAAUCUUUUGUGUGUGUGUGUGUUGACCAGCAUCCCAGUUCAUCUCUUCCUCCACACGUUAUUGAUUCAUGUAAGAGAGGGAUAAAUUGGAGUGGCCAGCUAUCAGUCUUCUUACAAAGAGGGCAAAAAUCAGAGAAGCACACGCUACUCAAAAAUACAGCCUUUCAGGGGAUCCAGGAGGCUUUCAAAUUCUGAUCUCUUACAGCAGCAGCUGGAUCAAAGGGCAUAGAUUGUUUGAAUGUUAAAGUUCAAUUAUCCAGACACAUUCUCUGUGUCAGUCAAGGAAAAAAGCUCCCCUAAUGGCACAGACAAGCAGCAGACUUUGCUUCUUUUUCCCUGCCCCCGGAGUUCCUGAGGCAUUUAUGGUUAGGUGCCAAUUGGAAACUAGUAAUCCACUUCAUCUAUUUCCUCCAAAAUAGGACCAAUCGGCACAGCCUGACAUAAGCUGGAAAUGAGGACAGCCGGCACCAGGUGAUCAACCAGCUCUCUGCAGACCAUUACUACCGUGAUGAACAAAAAGACUCAACGGCUUGCUCAACUGUAAUGCUACUAUUAGUACUAACCCAUAUUUAUAUGGCAUUUUUUAAACUAUUCGUGUUCCUGUAAGCAAAAUUCUAUACUAAUUGUUACAGUACACAUCUUUAAGAUGCAUACAAAUGUAAAAUAUCUGUUAUAAAGCAGCUAA